AAUGCAGUUGUUGGUGUGUAUGGUAAGUGCAUGUUUACUUUUGUAUGAAACUAUCCAACUAUUUUCCAGAGUUGCUGUUACCAUUUUACAUUUCUACCAAUAAC
This 104-nucleotide microRNA precursor is filed under the name Marmota monax (woodchuck). The record is from RNAcentral. Lineage: Eukaryota; Metazoa; Chordata; Mammalia; Rodentia; Sciuridae.